RNAcentral lists this long non-coding RNA (463 nucleotides) under Durio zibethinus. Its description in RNAcentral is "long non-coding RNA (DZIB_LNC001853)". The record is from RNAcentral. Lineage: Eukaryota; Viridiplantae; Streptophyta; Magnoliopsida; Malvales; Malvaceae.
UCAGAAACAAAGUCCGAUGUUUUAAGCUGCAAAAUCCUUUUGUAACUUUCACUUAACACUAUGAAAAAUUAACACCAACGCAAGUUUUACCAAGUUUCUGUGUUUGAGUGAGUUUAAAACAUUGGAUUCAAGAUAUUCAAAUUCAUUUCCAUUUUAAAAACCCUGCUAAAACAAUGCUUUCAUAUUUUAAAGCUUGACUCCAGUGAAAAUCAUUUUCAAAGGAAAACAUAAAGUUUCAAAAGCAUUAGGCUUCGAGUGCUCCCCCUAUAAACUGCUGAAACAAUUUAGCGCACAUUAAGCACCAAUAACAACUUCAUAAAUAAUAUCCAAAUAUGAAGAUCAUUCCUCAAAAUCCUUAGAGCACCUAAAAACGUAUCUAAAAGCAAAUAAGUAUGAAACACAGCGAAAAAUUAAAAUCGUGCGAUAAUUGUGCGAAUGGUUUCUAUGCCCAGAAUUGUUCAAA